This 334-nucleotide ribosomal RNA is filed under the name uncultured soil bacterium. Its description in RNAcentral is "bacterial SSU rRNA". It matches the Rfam family "Bacterial small subunit ribosomal RNA", at positions 26 to 368 of the family's 1533-position model. The record is from RNAcentral.
AGAUUGAACGCUGGCGGCAUGCCUUACACAUGCAAGUCGAACGGCAGCACGGGAGCAAUCCUGGUGGCGAGUGGCGAACGGGUGAGUAAUAUAUCGGAACGUGCCAGUCGUGGGGGAUAACGUAGAGAAAUUUACGCUAAUACCGCAUACGAUCCAAGGAUGAAAGCGGGGGACCUAAGGCCUCGCGCGACUGGAGCGGCUGAUAUCAGAUUAGCUUGUUGGUGAGGUAAAAGCUCACCAAGGCGACGAUCUGUAGCUGGUUGAGAGGACGACCAGCCACACUGGGACUGAGACACGGCCCAGACGUCCACGGAGCAGCGAGUGGGAAUUUGGA